UACAGAGGGGGCGAGCGUUGUUCGGAAUUACUGGGCGUAAAGGGCGCGUAGGCGGCCCGCUAAGUCGAACGUGAAAUCCCCAGGCUCAACCUGGGAACUGCGUCCGAUACUGGCAGGCUUGAAUCCGGGAGAGGGAUGUGGAAUUCCAGGUGUAGCGGUGAAAUGCGUAGAUAUCUGGAGGAACACCGGUGGCGAAGGCGGCCUGCUGGGCAGUGGCUGACACUGAGGCGCGACAGCGUGGGGAGCAAACAGG
This 253-nucleotide ribosomal RNA is filed under the name uncultured bacterium. RNAcentral's name for it is "partial 16S ribosomal RNA". It matches the Rfam family "Bacterial small subunit ribosomal RNA", at positions 524 to 776 of the family's 1533-position model. The record is from RNAcentral.